This 253-nucleotide ribosomal RNA is filed under the name uncultured bacterium. RNAcentral describes it as "partial 16S ribosomal RNA". It matches the Rfam family "Bacterial small subunit ribosomal RNA", at positions 524 to 776 of the family's 1533-position model. The record is from RNAcentral.
UACAGAGGGGGCAAGCGUUGUUCGGAAUUACUGGGCGUAAAGGGCGCGUAGGCGGCCUUCUAAGUCGAACGUGAAAUCCCCGGGCUCAACCCGGGAACUGCGUCCGAUACUGGAAGGCUUGAAUCCGGGAGAGGGAUGCGGAAUUCCGAGUGUAGAGGUGAAAUUCGUAGAUAUUCGGAAGAACACCAGUGGCGAAGGCGGCUCACUGGACCGGUAUUGACGCUGAGGUGCGAAAGCGUGGGGAGCAAACAGG